Molecule: long non-coding RNA, 289 nt
Filed under: Fragaria vesca (wild strawberry)
Lineage: Eukaryota; Viridiplantae; Streptophyta; Magnoliopsida; Rosales; Rosaceae
Description: long non-coding RNA (FVES_LNC002192)
Source: RNAcentral
GGGUAUUGGACCUUAUGCCAAAGGUGCAGAUCUUGGUUUUCUUUACAUUGUCCCAGAGCAAAGUUUCCUAGUAUUAUUCAAUCGCCUGAAACUACCAGAAUGAGCCGAUUGUCAUCAUUGGCUUGAUUCUUACACUUAGAUAUGGCAUGUCUUCACGUACUCUGACGUGAGAGAUGGGUUCUUUAAUUGUACCAUGUCCAAGCAAAGAAGGUUGGUUUGCCCUGUUAAGUAAUACAUAUGAUAUCUUAGUUUCUGGCAUUUUGUUUCCACAAAAAUUUGACCUCUUUUU